UACGGAGGGUGCGAGCGUUGUCCGGAAUCACUGGGCGUAAAGGGCGCGUAGGCGGUGCGAGAAGCGUGUGGUGAAAGGCCGGGGCUCAACUCCGGCUCGGCCGUGCGGACUCUCGCGCUUGAUGAGUGCUGUGGAGGCGGGCGGAAUUCCGGGUGUAGCGGUGGAAUGCGUAGAGAUCCGGAAGAACACCGGUGGCGAAGGCGGCCCGCUGGGCAGUGACUGACGCUGAGGCGCGACAGCGUGGGGAGCAAACAGG
Molecule: ribosomal RNA, 256 nt
Filed under: uncultured bacterium
Lineage: Bacteria
Description: partial 16S ribosomal RNA
Rfam family: Bacterial small subunit ribosomal RNA
Source: RNAcentral